This 765-nucleotide ribosomal RNA is filed under the name uncultured Streptococcus sp. Its description in RNAcentral is "bacterial SSU rRNA". It matches the Rfam family "Bacterial small subunit ribosomal RNA", at positions 28 to 776 of the family's 1533-position model. Lineage: Bacteria; Bacillati; Bacillota; Bacilli; Lactobacillales; Streptococcaceae. The record is from RNAcentral.
GAUGAACGCUGGCGGCGUGCCUAAUACAUGCAAGUAGAACGCUGAAGCUUGGUGCUUGCACCGAGCGGAUGAGUUGCGAACGGGUGAGUAACGCGUAGGUAACCUGCCUCUUAGCGGGGGAUAACUAUUGGAAACGAUAGCUAAUACCGCAUAAAAGUCGAUAUCGCAUGAUAUUGACUUGAAAGGUGCAAUUGCAUCACUAAGAGAUGGACCUGCGUUGUAUUAGCUAGUUGGUGAGGUAACGGCUCACCAAGGCGACGAUACAUAGCCGACCUGAGAGGGUGAUCGGCCACACUGGGACUGAGACACGGCCCAGACUCCUACGGGAGGCAGCAGUAGGGAAUCUUCGGCAAUGGGGGCAACCCUGACCGAGCAACGCCGCGUGAGUGAAGAAGGUUUUCGGAUCGUAAAGCUCUGUUGUAAGAGAAGAACGAGUGUGAGAGUGGAAAGUUCACACUGUGACGGUAACUUACCAGAAAGGGACGGCUAACUACGUGCCAGCAGCCGCGGUAAUACGUAGGUCCCGAGCGUUAUCCGGAUUUAUUGGGCGUAAAGCGAGCGCAGGCGGUUAGAUAAGUCUGAAGUUAAAGGCUGUGGCUUAACCAUAGUACGCUUUGGAAACUGUUUAACUUGAGUGCAGAAGGGGAGAGUGGAAUUCCAUGUGUAGCGGUGAAAUGCGUAGAUAUAUGGAGGAACACCGGUGGCGAAAGCGGCUCUCUGGUCUGUAACUGACGCUGAGGCUCGAAAGCGUGGGGAGCGAACAGG